CCAGAGGGCCGGGCGGCCGCGGCGUGGCGGGUAACUUCCACGGCGAGGAAAGUCCGGGCUCCACGAAAUGACGGUGCCGGCUAACGGCCGGCGGGGGCGACCCCAGGGACAGUGCAACAGAAAGCAGGUCGCCACGGUUUCGGCCAGGCGAAAUUGAAAGGGUGCGGUAAGAGCGCACCGCGUCCCCGGCAACGGCGGACGGCACGGUAAACCCCACCGGGAGCAAGACCGAAUAGGGGCGGCGCGCGGACGCAAGUCCGCUAGGCAUGUUUCGGCCGAGACCGCCCGGGUUGGUUGCUUGAGCCGCGCAGCAAUGCACGGCCUAGAGGAAUGGCCGUCGCUCUCCUUCGGGGGAGCACAGAACCCGGCUUACAGGCCCUCUGGCAAU
Molecule: RNase P RNA, 388 nt
Filed under: Sphingobium ummariense RL-3
Lineage: Bacteria; Pseudomonadati; Pseudomonadota; Alphaproteobacteria; Sphingomonadales; Sphingobiaceae
Description: Bacterial RNase P class A
Rfam family: Bacterial RNase P class A
About the family: Ribonuclease P (RNase P) is a ubiquitous endoribonuclease, found in archaea, bacteria and eukarya as well as chloroplasts and mitochondria. Its best characterised activity is the generation of mature 5'-ends of tRNAs by cleaving the 5'-leader elements of precursor-tRNAs.
Source: Rfam by way of RNAcentral